RNAcentral lists this ribosomal RNA (1158 nucleotides) under Triticum aestivum (bread wheat). Its description in RNAcentral is "partial small subunit ribosomal RNA". The record is from RNAcentral. Lineage: Eukaryota; Viridiplantae; Streptophyta; Magnoliopsida; Poales; Poaceae.
AUGGCUAACAGAGCUCAGAAAAUUAUUACCUCAGUUAUACAUCAGAAUCAGUAUGGGUUUAUCAAAGGUAGAAAUAUUCAAGAUUGUUUGGGUUAUGCUUUUGAAUAUCUCCAUUUAUGCCGUCAAUCCAAAGAACCCAUCAUCAUUCUAAAAUUAGACUUUGAAAAGGCAUUUGAUAAGGUGGAGUACAAGACCAUUACUGCUAUGCUCAAAGCAAAAGGGUUUGGGCCUAGAUGGAUCAAGUGGGUAGAAAAUAUUCUCCGAACUGCAUCUACUUCUAUCCUACUUAAUGGAGUGGCUGGGAAAAAGAUCAUCUGUAAAAGAGGGGUCAGACAAGGGGAUCCUCAUUCACCUCUAUUAUAUGUUAUUACUGCUGAUCUCUUACAAUCUGUUAUUAAUGCUGCUUGGUCAAAUGGGGAAUUAUCACUUCCUAUAAAUCAUGCAUAUGGGCAAGAUUAUCCAAUCAUUCAAUAUGUUGAUGAUACUCUAUUGAUUAUGCCUGCCAAUGAAAACCAGUUAAAUCAUCUCAAAUACCUUCUGAAUCUGUUUAGUCUGUCCACUGGUCUCUUUGUUAAUUUUAGCAAAUCCUUAAUGAUUCCCAUCAAUGUUAAUCAUCAAGAGGUCACCAGACUUGCCACAGUAUUUGGAUGUAAAGUUGAAAGCCUUCCUUUCACCUAUCUAGGUCUACCCAUGGGCACCACAAAGCCAACAGUACAGGAUCUCAUCCCUGCCAUAUCCAGAAUUGACAAAAGAUUAUCUGGGGUUGCUAGAUUCAUGAAUUAUUCUGGCAGACUAACUUACAUCAAUUCUGUUGUUUCUUCGAUGCCAAUAUUUGCCAUGUGCUCUCUCAAAGUACAUAUUACCAUUCUGGAUCAUGUUGAUAAAUCAAGCAGAAAUUUCUUAUGGUAUGUAAAUGAUAUUAACAAAGGAGGCAAAUGUUUGGCAAACUGGCAGAUGAUAUGCAAGCCAAAAAAUCAAGGGGGUCUUGGUGUUUUGAAUCUGAGAGAACAAAACAAAGCUUUGCUUAUUAAGCAUCUUUACAAAUUUUACAACAAGAUGGAUGUACCCUGGGUUGAACUAAUCUGGGAGGCUCACUAUCAGAAUAAUGAGGUCCCUCAUGCCAACAGAAGCAAAGGAUCUUUCUGGUGGAGAGAUUGA